GAUGAAGAACGCAGCGAAAUGCGAUAAGUAAUGCGAAUUGCAGAAUUUCCGUGAGUCAUCGAAUCUUUGAACGCACAUUGCGCCCACUAGUAUUCUGGUGGGCAUGCCUGUUCGAGCGUCAUUUCAACCCUCAAGCCUUAGUUGCUUGGUGUUGGGAGCUUAUCUUGCCGAAAGGCGGACAACUCCUUAAAACUAUUGGCGGAGUCGCGGUGACCCCAAGCGUAGUAAAUCUUUUUUUUCUCGCUUUAGGUGUUAACGCUGGCUUUCUAGCCGUUAAACCCUCUAAAUUUUUAGUGGUUGACCUCGGAUCAGGUAGGACUACCCGCUGAACUUAAGCAUAUCAAUAAGCGGAGGA
This 355-nucleotide unclassified non-coding RNA is filed under the name soil metagenome. Its description in RNAcentral is "partial contains 5.8S ribosomal RNA, internal transcribed spacer 2, and large subunit ribosomal RNA". The stretch from base 1 to 121 matches the Rfam family "5.8S ribosomal RNA", at positions 35 to 154 of the family's 154-position model. The record is from RNAcentral.